ACAGAGGAUCCCGAAAAUCUGAAAACAGAGUAGGGG
Molecule: non-coding RNA, 36 nt
Filed under: unclassified sequences
Description: DUF805b RNA
Rfam family: DUF805b RNA
About the family: Bacteroidetes, Chlorobi (1 example), Proteobacteria. Lineage (Flavobacteria)
Source: RNAcentral